Molecule: long non-coding RNA, 2893 nt
Filed under: Equus caballus (horse)
Lineage: Eukaryota; Metazoa; Chordata; Mammalia; Perissodactyla; Equidae
Description: lncRNA (ENSECAG00000055988.1)
Source: RNAcentral
UAUAAAUCAAAUAUAUUAAAUAAUAUUUUAUUGUAAAUUAGUAUUUGGAUAAUAUAUUACCUAAAGUCUAAAGUACGUAUAUUUUAAAACAACAUAAUAGCUUCUUCAAAAAGAGAAAAAGAAUGCAAGCCCAUUUUCUAAGUGUUCAAAAUCAAACAACACUAAAAGAACCAGUCAGAAUGAGCUGGCCCUUCUCUAAAAGCCAUGGAACAUAAAUUACUUUAACAUAUUGUGCAAAGGCAUUGUCCUGCACUAGCUCCCAUAGUCUACCUUAGAGAGAAGCUUCUGCUCAGUCAUACAUUACAGAAGAAGAAGUGUUCCAUAGCUGCUGGUUGUUAGCAGUUUAUUGUGCACUGAGAAGAACGCUGGGAGCGGCUCGGACAGUCCCUCAGCAGUCCCGGCGAAGUUACGGGAAGGGCCUCUGGGAUAGCUGUUUACUGCGCACAGGAUGAAUAAAUCAAGAAUGGUAAAAGCCAGGAGACACCAGGCAAAGUCCCCUGAAAUCACUGCGGGGACACUGCCAGAACCCAGGCGGGGCACUGGGCAGAAGAGGGCAGUGGGCCAUUUUGAAAGGAAGAAAAGGACAACUGGGGGCAGAGGCUGGGACAAAGUCUGCACAGCAGAGGAGCAGAUGACAUGGAAGAUUCUACAGCUGCUCACGGCAGCUGCUCUAAUAGUCGCCUCUGCUUCAGAGUAGAGGCAAAUGUGCUUAGAAAUGAAAGGCAAGAGGGGAGAGGAAAAAUGUACCUUCCAUUUCUAACCAACUGGAGCAUAAUCUUCACAAAGCUCAGCCAGUUCUCAUGAGGUGGUUAUUUUUAGGAUUCAAAUAUAGGCAACAUACUAACCAGCAAACCCUAUGUGCUCCUUAGCUGCAAGCACAAGUGGGUACACCCAAAUUACUGAGAGGACGUCACAAUCUCUAAGGACAAACUUGUAGUUGGAGCCUUGAACAUUAGAAAUGGUAGCAAUUUAGUAAUAUGAUAGUUUAUGGCCUUGCCCAACUGUUUCUGAACUCAUAAAAUGCUUUGUUACAUGUAAGCUUAACUUUCAUAGGCUUUAGGCCACAUAAUGGCUUUAAGCCACUAUUUCUUGUUUUAAAUUCAGUACCAAUAAGGGUAGCUGAUCUCUCUAUGCUGAGAUGAUUUCCAAGAACUCUGGACCCUACUGAACUCUGUACUGUUCUAAGGACUCGCCCUGGUUGACUGGAAAUCCUAUCCUGAGGAAAUAAAUACAUAGCUGAGGACAGGGAGGACAGGGGCAGGCCAACCCCAUCCACCUCACGUUUUCUUCAGGAUCCACAGACAUCCUAAACCAUAGAGUUUUCACCUCCUUGAUAGCAGAGAGCAUUUAUGAUCAGAAAAAGAUGUUCUUCAAAAAUGUCAGGGACUGGGGCUGGCCCCGUGGCCGAGUGGUUAAGUUCGCGCGCUCCACUGCAGGCGGCCCAGUGUUUCGCUGGUUCGAAUCCUGGGCGCGGACAUGGUACUGCUCAUCAAACCACGCUGAGGCGGCGUCCCACGUGCCACAACUAGAAGGACCCACAACAAAGAAUGUACAACUAUGUACCGGGGGGCAUUGGGGAGAAAAAGGAAAAAAUAAAAUCUUUAAAAAAAAAAAAAUGUCAGGGACUGAGAGAAGUCACAAAAGGGCGAGGAAGAGAGUUAACAGUAACUGCAUAGUUACUGGGCUGUUUUAUAGAUUAAAAAAUAAAACAGGCUCAUAAAAUUUAGUAAUUUGUCUGAAGUCAUAUAGGAGGGUCAGAAGUCAAAUAAAGACAUGUGAGACUCCAAAACUUCUUUCUACUACCACAAGACGGCAUGGGGGUCUCAGGAUUCUGUAGAGCUCUUACCUCUGAAGGUUUAUAAAAUGCAGACAGACAAUGUGUAUUUCAUUGAUUAAAAACAGCUGAAGCCAUUUCUCAGGCUCUAUGCCUUGGCAGGGCACUGGCAGUCUCCUCCCCACUCCAGCCAGACACUUAGAACCACUUAAGCUUGCUCCAAGGCCUCCAGCCAGGCUGGAGUCUAUGGAGGCCUGAGGCUAACAGUGGCAUGAUCUCCCAGCUCAAUUAGGCAUGACACAAUUCUGGAAGGGUCAGUGGUCCACAGAGUAUGUUGUUGUAGUCUGAGCAGCCUUAAGGACAACAAGCAUGCUGUGAAAUGCAAAGCACUGAGUUCUGUUAAGACAUGUUCUUAUAAACCUGUUUAGAGAACUGAGAUAAUUUCAAUGAGCAAUUCAACUAACAGAAUAAUAGUGCUCUCAUUAUUUCAUCUUUGUAAAUCCCCCAGUCGCCAGACUGUAAGCAUCUCGAAGGCAGAGGCUCUGUGAACACACUACAAUGACCGGCAAAAAGAGCACCAUGGCAGUGUGUCCUAACCCCAAAUCUAUUCUUCUUUUCACUUUGGGUUUAAACCAGCUGUAAGCUGAGGAACACUGUCCUUUGAGACCCAACUACACUGUCUCAAAUCCUAUUCCUUUGUGCAGUGGGAGCCCUACCUUCCUUCUUAACUGUCUGGGGACUCUGGAAGUGGUGGAGACAGUCUACGAUUUUCUUUCCUAGUCACUUCUGGCUCCAAGAAGUGCUUGCUUCUGUCGACUUAGUUCAGGGGCUGGAAGGAGCACAGUGCUAUCCCUGAGCCCAUCUCCAGACAUGGAACGUUUUUGCUUCAGUAAGACGGGCUGAAGCAGGAAUCAUGCCCACUUAGGAGAAAAAGCAGAAGUGAAGCAUAUGCGUCCUAGGUCUUCAAAUGUUAAUACUUCAUUGUGCAUACUAUUUGCUUUUGAAGGUUUAGAAGAAAAAUACUUGUAUUAAUUAACUCUUUAUUAUGCAGAGAUGAAUGCUACAAAUUUUACUUAGAAUUUUCUUUGCCAUUUUCUAAGUAACCCUGAUUUAUUACUU